Molecule: ribosomal RNA, 500 nt
Filed under: uncultured Actinomycetes bacterium
Lineage: Bacteria; Bacillati; Actinomycetota; Actinomycetes
Description: bacterial SSU rRNA
Rfam family: Bacterial small subunit ribosomal RNA
Source: RNAcentral
CGGCGAACGGGUGAGGAACACGUGAAGAAUCUGCCCUCCACUUUGGGAUAACACCGGGAAACCGGUGCUAAUACCGAAUAUUGAAACAUAAGUGGCAUCACUGAGUUUUGAAAGAAUUUCGGUGGAGGAUGACUUCGCGGCCUAUCAGCUAGUUGGUGAGGUAAUGGCUCACCAAGGCAACGACGGGUAGCCGGCCUGAGAGGGCGACCGGCCACACUGGGACUGAGACACGGCCCAGACUCCUACGGGAGGCAGCAGUGGGGAAUAUUGGGCAAUGGAGGAAACUCUGACCCAGCGACGCCGCGUGCGGGAUGAAGGCCUUCGGGUUGUAAACCGCUUUCAGUAGGGAAGAAGCGAAAGUGACGGUACCUACAAAAGAAGCACCGGCUAACUAUGUGCCAGCAGCCGCGGUAAUACAUAGGGUGCAAGCGUUGUCCGGAAUUAUUGGGCGUAAAGAGCUCGUAGGUCGUUUGUUACGUCGGAUGUGAAAACCUGAGGCU